Molecule: ribosomal RNA, 397 nt
Filed under: uncultured bacterium
Lineage: Bacteria
Description: partial 16S ribosomal RNA
Rfam family: Bacterial small subunit ribosomal RNA
Source: RNAcentral
AUACGUAGGGGGCGAGCGUUGUCCGGAAUGAUUGGGCGUAAGGGGCGCGUAGGCGGCCUGUUAAAUCUGGAGUGAAAGUCCUGUUUUCAAGAUGGGAAUUGCUUUGGAUACUGAUGGGCUUGAGUGCAGGAGAGGUUAUCGGAAUUCCCGGUGUAGCGGUGAAAUGCGUAGAGAUCGGGAGGAACACCAGUGGCGAAGGCGGGUAACUGGACUGCAACUGACGCUGAGGCGCGAAAGUGUGGGGAGCAAACAGGAUUAGAUACCCUGGUAGUCCACACUGUAAACGAUGAAUGCUAGGUGUAGGAGGUAUCGACCCCUUCUGUGCCGCAGUAAACACAGUAAGCAUUCCGCCUGGGGAGUACGGUCGCAAGAUUAAAACUCAAAUGAAUUGGCGGGG